Molecule: unclassified non-coding RNA, 197 nt
Filed under: uncultured fungus
Lineage: Eukaryota; Fungi
Description: sequence contains ITS1, 5.8S rRNA gene
Source: RNAcentral
ACGAGUUUUGAAACAGGUUGUAGCUGGCCUUUAUAUCAAGGCAUGUGCACGCCUGGCUCAUCCACUCUCAAACCUCUGUGCACUUGUUGUAGGCAUGACUUUUCUGAGACCACCUGUGGGCUUUAGGAUAAUGUCAUGUCUAUGUUUUUACAAACGCUUCAGUGAAUGAAUGUCAAUCAUGUAUAACAUACAUAAUA